AUCAAUAAGCGGAGGAGAAGAAACUAACCAGGAUUCCCCCAGUAACGGCGAGCGAAGCGGGAACAGCUCGAGCAGGCAAUCUCUGGUGUUGAUCGCCAGCGAAUUGUGGCCGGUAGAGGCGGGUGCACCUGACGCGAUUCCGUCGAAGUUGACCUGGAAAGGCACGUCGGAGAGGGUGAUAGCCCCGUGCGUGGCGGAGUCGCUGAGGGACGCUACCGUCUUCAGAGAGUCGGGUUGUUUGGGAGUGCAGCCCAAAGUGGGUGGUAAACUCCAUCUAAAGCCAAAUAGCGGCACGAGACCGAUAGCGAACAAGUACCAUGAGGGAAAGGUGAAAAGCACUUUGGAAAGAGAGUUAAAGAGGCCGCGAAACCGUUGGGAGGGAAACGCAUGCAGCCGGACCGGCCCGCAUCGGGUUCACGGGGCUGCCUCGAGUCGCGUCUGUCGUCGGCACCGUAAGGGUCGGCGGUGGGUCCUGGCUCUCGGCACCCCUGCACUCUCGGUGCUUCGGGCCGGCCAAGCGCGGCGGGAUGCGGGCGACGAGCUCAGUCGGGAAGGUAGCGCAGCCACCUGGUGGAGGCGAACUUAUAGCCGACUGUGCGGAGCGUCCGGGACCCGCCGAGGAGAGCGGUGGAACUUCCACCCCGGCAGCGCAGGCCGCCUCUUGGCGGCGGGGGCUCUCUGGUUCGUUGGCGAGCCGCUCCGCGUCACUGCCUGCAGUGGCCGGAGACGGUCCGCCUCCGGGCUGGGGGUUGCUCACUCCUUGCGCUCGGGCCGCUUGGCCAGACGCCGGCUGCAUCCGA
RNAcentral lists this ribosomal RNA (800 nucleotides) under Stelletta tuberculata. RNAcentral describes it as "eukaryotic LSU rRNA". It matches the Rfam family "Eukaryotic large subunit ribosomal RNA", at positions 42 to 647 of the family's 3401-position model. Lineage: Eukaryota; Metazoa; Porifera; Demospongiae; Tetractinellida; Ancorinidae. The record is from RNAcentral.